This 402-nucleotide ribosomal RNA is filed under the name uncultured Hyphomicrobiales bacterium. RNAcentral's name for it is "bacterial SSU rRNA". It matches the Rfam family "Bacterial small subunit ribosomal RNA", at positions 353 to 772 of the family's 1533-position model. The record is from RNAcentral. Lineage: Bacteria; Pseudomonadati; Pseudomonadota; Alphaproteobacteria; Hyphomicrobiales.
AGUGGGGAAUCUUGGACAAUGGGCGCAAGCCUGAUCCAGCCAUGCCGCGUGAGUGAAGAAGGUCUUCGGAUUGUAAAGCUCUUUUGCCAGGGACGAUAAUGACGGUACCUGGAGAAUAAGCCCCGGCAAACUUCGUGCCAGCAGCCGCGGUAAUACGAAGGGGGCUAGCGUUGUUCGGAAUUACUGGGCGUAAAGCGCACGUAGGCGGGUCGUUAAGUCAGGGGUGAAAUCCCGGAGCUCAACUCCGGAACUGCCUUUGAUACUGGCGAUCUCGAGAUCGGAAGAGGUGAGUGGAAUUCCCAGUGUAGAGGUGAAAUUCGUAGAUAUUGGGAAGAACACCAGUGGCGAAGGCGGCUCACUGGUCCGAUACUGACGCUGAGGUGCGAAAGCGUGGGGAGCAAA